GUUGUUGGGAUCUCUGUCUUUUGUGGCGACUCUUUCCGUGCGCAGCUCGGAGAAGUCUUGUGCAUUCCAUCAUCGGAAUCUCGGAAUAUUUGUAUGCUCAAAUAAAAACAGCUGUGCUAACUUGGAAAUGGAUUUUAGGGAUCAACAACCACCCAGGUUACCAACCAGGCCCUCUAACACACCUGACACACACACAUACAAGUCUGGAGAUCCGAACACUUACUUCCUUACAACAGAAAUUCAAACGACAAACACUUUUUGAAAUCAUCGAGACCUAUCUACAAAAAGUCAUAUUUUUGAUCAAAUCCGAGGAAUCUAGGACAAGAGAUCUCUCGACAAGUAGCUCCCUUGACCCGAAACAAUUAAUUAGUCGUACCAGGUCUCUAAUGCAAAAACUACCCUAUAACAUUGGCUCUUAAGGGGGAAAUUAUUAUUUUCCUUCGUAGGACUGUUUCUGGUUUUUAUAGAACAGGUUCUUUCGAUGAUCACGUCAGAACCGUUUACACUUAACGACUAUGUGGCUCAUUAACGUUUUGAACUUGGCCUUAAUAUCGUCUUACGAAGGGUGUUUCGGUUCGAAUUUAAGAACUUACACCGGCACGCUGAAGCAAAACAUCAAUGGGCCUGAUGCCAGAUGUCAUUGUGUACAGUUCAAAAGGGUUUUAUAUGAAAUUUGUUUGUUGACUAUUAUAUUUUUUGCACUUGAGAAACGCGCGCGUUUAUUGUCGCACACAGUUGAUCGGGAAAACAGCGGAAAGAACAGAAAACAA
Long non-coding RNA from Drosophila miranda, 770 nucleotides. RefSeq lists it as uncharacterized. NCBI's taxonomy places the organism in Eukaryota, Metazoa, Arthropoda, Insecta, Diptera, Drosophilidae. The record is from RefSeq and is a predicted model, not a curated record. The transcript is spliced from 2 exons.